AUACUUACCUGGCAGGGGAGAUACCAUGAUCACGAAGGUGGUUUUCCCAGGGCGAGGCUUAUCCAUUGCACUCCGGAUGUGCUGACCCCUGCGAUUUCCCCAAAUGUGGGAAACUCGACUGCAUAAUUUGUGGUAGUGGGGGACUGCGUUCGUGCUCUCCCCUG
Small nuclear RNA from Castor canadensis (American beaver), 164 nucleotides. Its record names the gene U1. It matches the Rfam family "U1 spliceosomal RNA". From Rfam's summary of the family: U1 is a small nuclear RNA (snRNA) component of the spliceosome (involved in pre-mRNA splicing). Its 5' end forms complementary base pairs with the 5' splice junction, thus defining the 5' donor site of an intron. NCBI's taxonomy places the organism in Eukaryota, Metazoa, Chordata, Mammalia, Rodentia, Castoridae. The record is from Ensembl.